Small nuclear RNA from Tupaia belangeri (northern tree shrew), 107 nucleotides. The record is from Ensembl. NCBI's taxonomy places the organism in Eukaryota, Metazoa, Chordata, Mammalia, Scandentia, Tupaiidae.
GGGCUCACUUCAGGCAGCAUACACACAAAAAUUGGAACAAUGCAGUAAGAUUAGCGUAACUCUUUGGCAAGGAUGACAUAUAAACCCUUGAAGCAUUUCAUAUAUUU